AUUGGUUCCCGAGUAAUAUUAUAUCCACUGCUCACCUUUAAGGUGAAGUGUACAACUGUUCAUUUGUGGAUGGAACUUUAAUUGUAAUUAUAGCUGCAGCGCAGCGAUGGGUCGGGUCCGCGCAUUUUUAGGCAAUUCUGAGCAACAAGCAGAAAAACUGGAAGACAUCUAGGAAUUUAGCAACACAAUCUGCCUUUUGCAUCAGCUGAGGCUUGAACUCACAACCUCUGAGACUAAAAAUCAAUUUCUAUCUCACUGAGCUAAUUAGUCAGUGACAAUUCAUGCGUAGCUUCAAAAAUUGACUAAGCCAGACGUGCAGGUUUAGCAGCCGUCCAUGCAUGGUAAAGCAGAUUUCAAACCACUGUAAAAAAUUCAGUUAUUGAAACAAAAAUCUGAAAAUACACAUAUUGCAUCUAGACAGCAUGGAGAUGUUGGUAAUUUAUUUUAACAAUGAUUUAUUGGCUCCAUAAGUGAAAAACUGAUCUUUAAAAUUGCCAUUUUUACAUUGACUCACAUCAUCUACCAUGACUCCUGAAUUUUGUCAUUUUCAUGAACACUGAAGAUUUAUUUAGCAAGAAUUUGCAUGUAUAUGUUUACAGUACCGUGUACAGUCAAACAUUUUGAUGCACUGUAGGCUCAAUUUUUGAUAAAUCAAAAAUCUGAGAAACAUAGUUUUUGUAGGACAGUCUGAAGAUGCUCUGUAGCAAGUUUGGUGUCAAUUGAGCAAAAAUUGUGGAAGGAGAUAGGUUUAAGAAGUUUUACAGUUUUUGAAAAAAAAACAGAGUGAUGAACUUCAUAAUUUUUAAUAGGUUAUGUACAAAAGUUUCUUAAGUAUUGGGGCUACAGUUUGAUGAAAGUUGUUAAGUUGUAGCACGUAUGGUUGAUUUGUUAUGAAUUUUCAAAGUUUUGAAAUUUGGACGCUUGCUGUAGUGCCACCAUCAGGACUAUUGGCUUGAGUUUACAGCUGAGGAUAUCUGGCAUGAGACUGGACCUUUGUGCAAAGUUUGGUGAGUUUUCACCCAUGGGAAGUAUGAUUUCCUCGGAAUACCUUGGAUUACUGGCAGCUUAGCUGCCCGGACCCUAAUUAUGACAGAUUCAUUUGCGCAGCAAGUGUAUAUUUUUAGAUUACUUACGCAAUCAGUUGGUCUGCAAUUGUUUGCCACACACUCUCUCUGCUUUAUUAUCGCUGCAGUGUUUCCUUUCUUCAUGAUUAUAUGUUUUACCUCUUCAUAAGUGUCCAUGAUGAGACGCUGCUCACUGGGUGAGAAGUAUGCGGCACGCAUCCUCUCCAUUGCUGCAUCGGUGAAUCUGUGAUCGAUCUCGGGGUCCAUUUAAGAAAGCCAAGGACGCGCACUUAUCCGAAUGAGUCACACCUGGCUUGACAAAGCCGCGCCUCCUCAGCCUGGCUUGGCGUUCGAACAACCAAUUAAGCCAGGAUGGACUUAGGGGAAUUUGUCCAGCCUCGCUUUUCCACUUAUCCUGGAUUGGUUAAUUCUACUUUCCAGCAACAGGCCCCUGCGCUACCCUGACUAAAACGUACUUACACAAGGCGCUGCAAAAAAUUAGGCCAAUAGAAUCAUUAAAGAUCAAAACCACCCAGAAAGCGGCCUUUUCUCCCUAUUGAGGUCGAGAAGAGGGUACCAUUUCAGCAGGCAGCACUGAGAGGCUCAGGAGGAGCUUCUACCCUCUGGACACAAGAAUCCUUAUGAGACCCUGUCUAAAGGCUUUGCACAUUGAGUCCAUUUGUUUGGUAUGUGUUUUUUAAAUCCGUCAUCCAAAACCAAAAAACAUUACACAGAGAAACCUUGCACGCUGAGUUUGAUGCAUUUACUGUUGUUUUACUGUGAGAAAAACUGCAAUACAAGAUAAAAUGAAAAAAGGACAUUGCUUCUCUUGGAGUUACCUAUCUGGCUGUCACCACUCUCCCCAUGUGUAUUGUGUGACCUGUUCCUCUAUCUUGUCACAGAUGUGUUCCACCACCACAUUUUCCUCACCGCUUCUUACUCAAACAACUCUCUAAAGGCUUUUGACAGAUGCAGUAAAAAUGCAGAAAAUCGAACUGUUCUGAAAACUCUGAAAAGAUGGAUGAAAAUUUUGGAGUCAGUGCGCAAACGUGAUUGACACAACGUGAGGUCAUGUUAAUUUUAGAUGUGCAACAAUUUCAGAUGACACUGGAUAGGAAACAGGAACUGGAACUGACAGAUUAUAUAUCACUGAAAUGGUAUUCAUAUGAUUUCAUGUGACAAACAAAUUGAUGGACUGAUUGCUAGCUACUGUACAUUUAAAAGGGAAGCUCAUUUUAAAAGUUUUCCUAGAUGAUGAUCGUAUACUAACAUCACAACCUAAGGCCAUGUUUCCACUGGACACAGAAGCGCUGUGAUAUGACAACUGUCAUGCGAGCAUUCCACUGGCUGUUUAUACCAGAGGAACGUUUCUCCAAGCCGGUCAGCAAGUGAUCUGCUCCUCUGUUAUUUUCUAUUCACAUAUAUAGCUCUGUCUCUGUCUGCUUGUGUGUGUGUGUGUGUGUGUGUGUGUGUGUGUGUGUGUGUGUCUCUCUCUCUCUCUUGCUCUCUGUUUAGACACAUUUGACAAAAUGUGGUAUAAAUAAGCAUGGGGUG
Epinephelus moara (kelp grouper) is the source of this 2618-nucleotide long non-coding RNA. RefSeq lists it as uncharacterized. Lineage: Eukaryota; Metazoa; Chordata; Actinopteri; Perciformes; Serranidae. The transcript has 2 exons. The record is from RefSeq and is a predicted model, not a curated record.